GUCGAGUGAUGACCCAGGUUAUGACGAGAUAUCAUCACCGGGUCUACACUUGCCAC
This 56-nucleotide microRNA precursor is filed under the name Brachionus plicatilis. RNAcentral describes it as "Bpl-Mir-36-P16_pre stem-loop". The record is from RNAcentral. Lineage: Eukaryota; Metazoa; Rotifera; Eurotatoria; Ploima; Brachionidae.